Molecule: long non-coding RNA, 620 nt
Organism: Gallus gallus (chicken)
Lineage: Eukaryota; Metazoa; Chordata; Aves; Galliformes; Phasianidae
Exons: 3
Source: RefSeq, a predicted model, not a curated record
AGGGGGGCAAAUAUUUGUAGCUUGGAAGGUUUUAUUGAGAGAAGGAAUUGCAUUUUGAUGAGGGGAAUGCUCCCUGGUGGUGGAUAAGCUAUAUGACAUUGCUUAGAGCCACAUCAGCGUUCAGUAGGGAAUCAGAAUGGAGAUUCCUGAAGAUGCUUCUGUUGAAGGCAAAGGUGACCUCCUUUCAGCAGCGUGUUAGUUGGUAUGGCGCGGACAGCUGCUGUGACUGCAAGGCAGGUUUCUUUAUUUAAGGAGGAAGAAACCAUACGUAUCACCAGGGAUAAUUUUAAAUGCAGAGGAAUUCUCAUGUAGUGUGAAAUACUCCUGAGCUGUUUCCUGAGACAUACGCCUAGAUAGGAUUUUCUCUGGAGAAAACAAGGGGGAAAUGUUACAUGCCAGAUGUUUUCUUAAACAGACUUGCUAAAUAAGAUCAUUUUAAUCGGUCUGGGUUCAAAACAACUUCACUUGCUGUGUCAGGAAUUACUACUCUCCUGACACUCAAUAAAAGGUGCAGAUCUUAAAAGCAUUUGAUGAUUUUCAUUUAUUUUUUAGUUGAUAUUUCGAAUGGAAAUAGUCUCCUCUCCUGGAAGGAAACCAAAUGAAACCAAGCGUUGGGUGCU